This 451-nucleotide ribosomal RNA is filed under the name uncultured Fibrobacter sp. Its description in RNAcentral is "partial 16S ribosomal RNA". It matches the Rfam family "Bacterial small subunit ribosomal RNA", at positions 341 to 792 of the family's 1533-position model. The record is from RNAcentral. Lineage: Bacteria; Pseudomonadati; Fibrobacterota; Fibrobacteria; Fibrobacterales; Fibrobacteraceae.
ACGGAAGGCAGCAGUGGGGAAUAUUGCACAAUGGGGGAAACCCCGAUGCAGCAACGCCACGUGUGGGAAGAAGCAUUUCGGUGUGUAAACCACUGUCGUGAAGGAAUAAGGCUUAUUUUCGGAUAAGUUGAAUGUACUUUGAAAGGAAGCACCGGCAAACUUCGUGCCAGCAGCCGCGGUAAUACGAGGGGUGCAAGCGUUGUUCGGAAUCACUGGGCGUAAAGGGAGCGCAGGCGGAGAUGCAAGCAGUCUGUACAAUACCGGGGCCCAACCCCGGACCUGCAGACUGGACUGUUUCUCUUGGAUAGCUCAGGGGCUGGCGGAAUUCCUGGUGUAGCGGUGGAAUGCGUAGAGAUCAGGAAGAACACCGAUGGCGAAGGCAGCCAGCUGGGGGCUUAUCGACGCUCAUGCUCGAAAGUGCGGGUAGCAAACAGGAUUAGAUACCCUGGUA